GCUGGCGGCGUGCCUAACACAUGCAAGUCGAGCGAUUUACUUCGGUAAAGAGCGGCGGACGGGUGAGUAACGCGUGGGUAACCUGCCUCAUACACAUGGAUAACAUACCGAAAGGUAUGCUAAUACAGGAUAAUAUAAGAGAUUCACAUGGAUUUUUUAUCAAAGCUGCGGUAUGAGAUGGACCCGCGUCUGAUUAGCUAGUUGGUAAGGUAAUGGCUUACCAAGGCGACGAUCAGUAGCCGACCUGAGAGGGUGAUCGGCCACAUUGGAACUGAGACACGGUCCAAACUCCUACGGGAGGCAGCAGUGGGGAAUAUUGCACAAUGGGCGAAAGCCUGAUGCAGCAACGCCGCGUGAGUGAUGAAGGCCUUCGGGUCGUAAAACUCUGUCCUCAAGGAAGAUAAUGACGGUACUUGAGGAGGAAGCCCCGGCUAACUACGUGCCAGCAGCCGCGGUAAUACGUAGGGGGCUAGCGUUAUCCGGAUUUACUGGGCGUAAAGGGU
This 503-nucleotide ribosomal RNA is filed under the name Terrisporobacter glycolicus. RNAcentral describes it as "bacterial SSU rRNA". It matches the Rfam family "Bacterial small subunit ribosomal RNA", at positions 35 to 568 of the family's 1533-position model. Lineage: Bacteria; Bacillati; Bacillota; Clostridia; Peptostreptococcales; Peptostreptococcaceae. The record is from RNAcentral.